RNAcentral lists this transfer RNA (72 nucleotides) under Bacteroidota bacterium. RNAcentral's name for it is "Bacteroidetes bacterium tRNA-Thr". It matches the Rfam family "tRNA". Rfam says of the family: Transfer RNA (tRNA) molecules are approximately 80 nucleotides in length. Their secondary structure includes four short double-helical elements and three loops (D, anti-codon, and T loops). RNAcentral also lists the same sequence under 2 other names. Lineage: Bacteria; Pseudomonadati; Bacteroidota. The record is from RNAcentral.
GCCGCUUUAGCUCAGAGGUAGAGCACUUCCAUGGUAAGGAAGGGGUCGUGGGUUCAAUUCCCACAAGCGGCU